CCAAAUGAUCCAUUGAAGCCUGGACUUUCAUUGCCCUGAGGGUGUCAUAGACGAUAUCAAAUUUAGUGAGCAGGAUCUGCCAUUUUGCUAAUCUUCUUGUGGGCAUUGGUUUCUGGAAUAUGUAUUUCAAAGAAUCCAACCUGGUUAUGAGGUAAGUGGUGUAGGCUUGCAGAUAAUACCUUAACUUCUUAGCGACCUAGGUCAAAGCACAACAAGUUCUUUCAAACAACGUAUACUUAGCUUCAUAACUGGUAAACUUUUUACUCAAAUAGUAGAUUGUCUGUUCUUUCUUUCUGGUCAGGUCAUGUUGCCGAGGACACAGCCAAAAGAAUUUUCCAAGACUGUCAGAUACAAGAACAGAGGCCUCCUUGGCUCAGGCGGGACCAAGACUGGUGGGUUAGAAGAUAUUCUUUGAUUUUAUCAAAAGCUUCCUGACAUUCAUCAGUCCAUUUG
RNAcentral lists this long non-coding RNA (453 nucleotides) under Nicotiana benthamiana. RNAcentral describes it as "long non-coding RNA (NBEN_LNC003185)". Lineage: Eukaryota; Viridiplantae; Streptophyta; Magnoliopsida; Solanales; Solanaceae. The record is from RNAcentral.